RNAcentral lists this ribosomal RNA (800 nucleotides) under Bacillus tequilensis. Its description in RNAcentral is "bacterial SSU rRNA". It matches the Rfam family "Bacterial small subunit ribosomal RNA", at positions 29 to 813 of the family's 1533-position model. Lineage: Bacteria; Bacillati; Bacillota; Bacilli; Caryophanales; Bacillaceae. The record is from RNAcentral.
UCAAGUGGCGGCGUUCCCUUAUACAUGCAAGUCGAGCGGACAGAUGGGAGCUUGCUCCCUGAUGUUAGCGGCGGACGGGUGAGUAACACGUGGGUAACCUGCCUGUAAGACUGGGAUAACUCCGGGAAACCGGGGCUAAUACCGGAUGGUUGUUUGAACCGCAUGGUUCAAACAUAAAAGGUGGCUUCGGCUACCACUUACAGAUGGACCCGCGGCGCAUUAGCUAGUUGGUGAGGUAACGGCUCACCAAGGCAACGAUGCGUAGCCGACCUGAGAGGGUGAUCGGCCACACUGGGACUGAGACACGGCCCAGACUCCUACGGGAGGCAGCAGUAGGGAAUCUUCCGCAAUGGACGAAAGUCUGACGGAGCAACGCCGCGUGAGUGAUGAAGGUUUUCGGAUCGUAAAGCUCUGUUGUUAGGGAAGAACAAGUACCGUUCGAAUAGGGCGGUACCUUGACGGUACCUAACCAGAAAGCCACGGCUAACUACGUGCCAGCAGCCGCGGUAAUACGUAGGUGGCAAGCGUUGUCCGGAAUUAUUGGGCGUAAAGGGCUCGCAGGCGGUUUCUUAAGUCUGAUGUGAAAGCCCCCGGCUCAACCGGGGAGGGUCAUUGGAAACUGGGGAACUUGAGUGCAGAAGAGGAGAGUGGAAUUCCACGUGUAGCGGUGAAAUGCGUAGAGAUGUGGAGGAACACCAGUGGCGAAGGCGACUCUCUGGUCUGUAACUGACGCUGAGGAGCGAAAGCGUGGGGAGCGAACAGGAUUAGAUACCCUGGUAGUCCACGCCGUAAACGAUGAG